RNAcentral lists this small RNA (545 nucleotides) under Pan troglodytes (chimpanzee). RNAcentral's name for it is "retained intron". The record is from RNAcentral. Lineage: Eukaryota; Metazoa; Chordata; Mammalia; Primates; Hominidae.
GCGGGGGGUCUCUCAAGCUGGUUCCAACGCUGAGGCCCCACAGCCUCCCAAUUCCGGGCAGACCCCUGACACCUGCUGUCUGGCCCCUUCCGGCCUGAAGCUGCAGCCGCGCCAUGUCCACCCCUCCGUUGGCCGCGUCGGGGAUGGCGCCCGGGCCCUUCGCCGGGCCCCAGGCUCAGCAGGCCGCCCGGGAAGUCAACACGGCGUCGCUGUGCCGCAUCGGGCAGGAGACAGUGCAGGACAUCGUGUACCGCACCAUGGAGAUCUUCCAGCUCCUGAGGAACAUGCAGCUGCCAAAUGGUGUCACUUACCACACUGGAACAUAUCAAGACCGGUUAACAAAGCUACAGGAUAAUCUUCGCCAACUUUCAGUUCUCUUCAGGAAGCUGAGAUUGGUAUAUGACAAAUGCAAUGAAAACUGUGGUGGGAUGGAUCCCAUUCCAGUCGAGGUAAUUUUUUGUGAUAGAGGGAGGAUGAAUAUAAAGUGUGAACUAGUGUCAAGACAGUUGUUAAUCUUUUUCCUCUCUCUCCUGUUUUAGCGAUAU